CGAUCCUCUCCAUGGGCCUGAUAAUUUUAAAAGGCUUGCCUUCCUCAGAUAAAAAGUUUUUCUUUUCCUACAAGAUAAGGCAGAGAGUAAAGGGCACGGGCCUCUCUUUGCACUGGCCUUCUGUGGGCUCCGGGUCAACAUCUUUGUGGCCGACAUCGCAGAUAAGCGGGGGUGGGGGUUGCAAUCACGCCCACAAGCAACAGAGGAAAGAGAGGAGCCUCGCCCUCUUCCCCCCACUCCCCGGUCCCCCAAGCCUGCUCACUAGCUCUCUCCUCCUCCUUCCACCCGCAAGGAACCCUCCAGCCCACUUCCUGUGAUCCUUUCCGGAGCCCUUCAGCCUGGCUUGCUCUCUGGCCAUCUCGGAAAGCUUCUCUUUCCUCCCUCCAUAUUCGCAGGUUCAGCUACAGAGAACUCUCGAGGUCGCAACGGCCGUCACCAGGUCCCAGGGCCUGCGUUCAGCUGCUUGAUCCGACUAGGGUUGGCUUCGGACCCGAGUGGGUCAGCUCCGCGCCCGAUGGAGUUUUUCAAGCUGGUGCCUGCACGUGCCCCCGCCGCAGGGCAUGGAGCCGUGGGCUGCGCCCGAACUUCCCCACAACCACCGCUGACCGAAGCCUCUCCCACUCCGUCCACCGUUCGAAACCUGAAGCCGCCCUCUGUGAGAAAGCGUUGGGGUUGAAUCCAGACUUUUUGGGAACCUUAAAAUUAAAAAUACAAAAUAUUGACUAAAAAUUGGAUUUGAAAGUGA
This is a non-coding RNA of Macaca mulatta (Rhesus monkey), 745 nucleotides long. The record is from RefSeq and is a predicted model, not a curated record. NCBI's taxonomy places the organism in Eukaryota, Metazoa, Chordata, Mammalia, Primates, Cercopithecidae.